AGGAGGCAUGUGGUUUAAUUCGAUGAUACGCGAGGAACGUUACCUGGGCUCGAACGUAAGAUGACUGUAGGUGAAAGCUUACAUCUCUUCGGAGCAUUUUACGAGGUGCUGCAUGGUUGUCGUCAGCUCGUGCCGUGAGGUGUCGGGUUAAGUCCCAUAACGAGCGCAACCCCUACCUUAGUUGCCAUCAGGUUAAGCUGGGGACUCUAAAGGAACUGCCUACGCAAGUAGUGAGGAAGCGGGGAUGACGUCAAAUCAGCACGGCCCUUACGUCCAGGGCUACACACGUGCUACAAUGGCCGAUACAGAGGGCAGCUACCUGGUGACAGGAUGCAAAUCUCCAAAGUCGGUCUCAGUUCGGAUCGGAGUCUGCAACCCGACUCCGUGAAGUUGGAUUCGCUAGUAAUCGCGCAUCAGCCAUGGCGCGGUGAAUACGUUCCCGGGCCUU
This 448-nucleotide ribosomal RNA is filed under the name uncultured Sphingobacteriales bacterium. Its description in RNAcentral is "bacterial SSU rRNA". It matches the Rfam family "Bacterial small subunit ribosomal RNA", at positions 933 to 1382 of the family's 1533-position model. The record is from RNAcentral. Lineage: Bacteria; Pseudomonadati; Bacteroidota; Sphingobacteriia; Sphingobacteriales.